Molecule: long non-coding RNA, 877 nt
Organism: Capsella rubella
Lineage: Eukaryota; Viridiplantae; Streptophyta; Magnoliopsida; Brassicales; Brassicaceae
Exons: 2
Source: RefSeq, a predicted model, not a curated record
CUUCAAGGCGAUUAUGGCGGCGGGGUUGUUCCUUCCCGGGUGAGAAAACAAAAAUGUCUUGUGCAUGAUUUGCAAUCGGGGCAAAUAUGUCGGAUAAAGAUCCAGACGAUGUUGUUAUCACUGAGCUACCGAGGUCGGAUUUUUUUCUUGAGACAAGGGCAAUUGCGGUUUCAGGGACCAUAAUGUGGAGAAUGAAACUUUCAACCUCUUGAGGAGUUCAGACCCUUAUCACGCUUUAUCCCAGAAGAAGCUUACUUAAUACCGUUCACUCAUACAAGAUGGUAUCAAACUUGAUGCUCUUCCGCGUGUUUUUCAUGCACUACCAAAUCUGUUAAAGCGUUCUGAAAAGCUUAGCUUGUAGGAAGGCUGUCCUUGAGGGUUUUUUCGAGCAUGUUGGAUUGGAGAAGCAAGACGAGGGAGUGGAGAUGGCUAUCAGUGAUGAUUUGCAUGCUUUGGCGAAAUGUGUUGAUUAUUUUUUUUCACAUGGAGGAAGAUGAGCCUUCUGCUUCCACGUGAACACCUUCGAAUGCAGCCUUGUAUGCCUCCACCCCCUCCACUGGGACCUGGUGGUCUGCUUCAGUUACCUUCAAUGGGGUUGCAUGCAACCACCACCUGUGGAGCCUCUUCUUGAGGAACCAGAGCCAAAGAGACCUUGUGAACUAUAUCAAAACAGUAGUUCCAACAAAGAUAAGUAUAUCAUGAUCAUCAUUUUCAUCUCUGAAUUUUUCAAGAAAUAUCUUGUGAAAAAUAUUUUAAGAAAAAUUGAUAAAAUGAAAAGAGUAGUAAAACAGCAAUAUCCGGAAGAGCAAGAUUUACUAAUGUGAUCACGAAAGCAAGAUGAUUGAUUAAAAAUACUCAAAAUCACAUGACAACUAAU